AGUGACAACUUCACCAGUGUUCUACCAAAUAUUCUCAAACUCGUCAAGGAUUUGCCACUAAUGAAAAUUUACAUGGAGGCAAGAGAGGAUGCUCUGGCUGAGGACAUUACAGGAAUUGACUUCAAGGGGGGACUUCUCCUCUUGCCAUCCAUUUUCAAGGAGAAAAUUGAGGAUUUCAUCAUCCUUGGAGAGAAUAAUCCUCAAACUCCAUACCCAACUAUUCAAAUGAAGGACCAGGAUUGGAAAACUGCCCUCUCCAGACAGUGUCACAGUGUUGUGACAGUCGAAGGAAUUGAGGUUUGUUCCUGCAGUUCACUGGAUGAGGCUUA
Molecule: long non-coding RNA, 329 nt
Organism: Sphaeramia orbicularis (orbiculate cardinalfish)
Lineage: Eukaryota; Metazoa; Chordata; Actinopteri; Kurtiformes; Apogonidae
Exons: 3
Source: RefSeq, a predicted model, not a curated record